This 252-nucleotide ribosomal RNA is filed under the name uncultured bacterium. Its description in RNAcentral is "partial 16S ribosomal RNA". It matches the Rfam family "Bacterial small subunit ribosomal RNA", at positions 524 to 776 of the family's 1533-position model. The record is from RNAcentral.
UACGUAGGGGGCAAGCGUUGUCCGGAUUUACUGGGCGUAAAGAGCGCGUAGGCGGAACGUUAAGCGGGGCCGGAAAGCCCCCGGCUCAACCGGGGAAGGGGCCGCGAACUGGCGUUCUUGAGGGGGAGAGGGGAGAGCGGAAUUCCUGGUGUAGCGGUGAAAUGCGUAGAGAUCAGGAGGAACACCAAUGGCGAAGGCAGCUCUCUGGCUUCACCCUGACGCUGAGACGCGAAAGCGUGGGUAGCAAACAGG